GUCUCUUAAUGACCCUUGCUAUUGUCGUCGUUUGUGUGCAUCACUAGGCGUUCGUCAAAGAACGACCAAUCAUCUUCUUCUUUGACUUCGGCGUCAUCUUCUCCAGUGCAUCAGACCCAGUCGUCCUCUUCUCUUGCUCAGAACCGUCCAGAUCGAUUUUUGCCUCGUCUUGUCCAUAUCGAUUCCGGUUUUGUCCUCAGGCAAAAGUCACCGUUGCUCCACUCUUACUCAGAUCGAUUUCCGGCUUCGUCUUCAGCCAAAGACCACCGACACUCUUCUUGCCUAGACCGGGUUCACCAUUCAUCCGAGACCGUCGCCGACUAUUUGUCCGAGAUCGUCGCCUCCAUCUCACCACAGAUCGACCAGAUUCUUCAGUUCGUUGCUGCUCACAUAACGACCGGAUUUGUUCAACCCAGUUAACAUCUGGGUCCAAUCCAUCAGUCACAGAAAGACCGUUCGCUUCUUCAGUUCAGGCCGGUGUCGGCCUUAGUCCAGCCCUACCCGUGCAACAAGUCAUAAUUCCC
RNAcentral lists this long non-coding RNA (524 nucleotides) under Rosa chinensis. RNAcentral describes it as "sRNA RchiOBHm_Chr7g0195881". The record is from RNAcentral. Lineage: Eukaryota; Viridiplantae; Streptophyta; Magnoliopsida; Rosales; Rosaceae.